Long non-coding RNA from Salvia miltiorrhiza (redroot sage), 739 nucleotides. RefSeq lists it as uncharacterized. NCBI's taxonomy places the organism in Eukaryota, Viridiplantae, Streptophyta, Magnoliopsida, Lamiales, Lamiaceae. The transcript is spliced from 2 exons. The record is from RefSeq and is a predicted model, not a curated record.
GUGGCUGCUGUGUUGCUAUUGAUUCUCGUGGAGACAAACUCAUUUGAAGUCUUGCAGCAGUAAUGGAUUCUCCCGUUUCUCUCUCAAAAGUCCUUAGUGUGGAAUGGGAGAGAAUGAAGUGAGAUUGCUGGCUGGAGGUUUAAGACUAAGAGGGAAUGGUUGUUGGCUGAACACUUGAGCACUCUACGGAGAUGGUACAGAGGCUGAAAUUCAGGGAGGAAGUGGAGGAAUUAAAGCCAAAGCUUACAUCCUUUGAAGUCGGCAGCAGUAAAUGAAGUCUUUCUUUCUUUUGGUGAAGUUUUUAGUGUAGAAUGGGAGUGGUAUGAAGGAAGUUUGCUGUUGAAUUAUUAAAGGAGUGAAUUUGGUAGCUAAUCUUGAAUAUCUAGUCCUCUAUGCCAUGUGAAAGCCUUGAGAGAGAAUAGGUAAAGUUGUGGCUGAUUGACAGCUUGUUUGUUCCCACACGCAUGCCUUUCCUUUUCUUUCUUGUUGCUGCCGUAAUAAUAGGAAUGUAGGGAGUAGGCUAGGAAUUGAGUGAUGUUUGUAAUAGAUAGUGUAGAGUUGUGGGUGUGACUAAUGAAAUUCUUCAGUGUUGGUCAUGGUCAUUUUAUAUCUUACUAUUAGUAUCUGCAAUACUAAUUCUAGUCUUGCUAUUUAAUGGUGUAUUUGGGUAUCUGAAAAUGUAAUACAAUCUCUAGUUUGCUACUAUACUGAAUACUCUAAUAAAUCUUGUUAUUCGAUA